Molecule: ribosomal RNA, 497 nt
Filed under: uncultured bacterium
Lineage: Bacteria
Description: partial 16S ribosomal RNA
Rfam family: Bacterial small subunit ribosomal RNA
Source: RNAcentral
GAUGAACGCUGGCGGCGUGCCUAAUACAUGCAAGUCGAGCGAACAGACGAGGAGCUUGCUCCUCUGACGUUAGCGGCGGACGGGUGAGUAACACGUGGAUAACCUACCUAUAAGACUGGGAUAACUUCGGGAAACCGGAGCUAAUACCGGAUAAUAUAUUGAACCGCAUGGUUCAAUAGUGAAAGACGGUUUUGCUGUCACUUAUAGAUGGAUCCGCGCCGCAUUAGCUAGUUGGUAAGGUAACGGCUUACCAAGGCAACGAUGCGUAGCCGACAUGAGAGGGUGAUCGGCCACACUGGAACUGAGACACGGUCCAGACUCCUACGGGAGGCAGCAGUAGGGAAUAUUCCGCAAUGGGCGAAAGCCUGACGGAGCAACGCCGCGUGAGUGAUGAAGGUCUUCGGAUCGUAAAACUCUGUUAUCAGGGAAGAACAAAUGUGUAAGUAACUAUGCACGUCUUGACGGUACCUAAUCAGAAAGCCACGGCUAACUACGUG